AUAAUGUGCAUUGAUUAAAGAAA
RNAcentral lists this small nuclear RNA (23 nucleotides) under Arabidopsis thaliana (thale cress). Its description in RNAcentral is "snRNA_04243". Lineage: Eukaryota; Viridiplantae; Streptophyta; Magnoliopsida; Brassicales; Brassicaceae. The record is from RNAcentral.